AGCUUUUCACAGUGGCGGUAUCAUAGCCAAUGUGGUUUAUUUGAGGUGCAAUUAUUGUUAAUUAAAAAUUUUUCUCAAUACCCCACUGUGACAACUUGAAGUACAGUUGGCACUGGCAAUUUCUGACAGUCUCUACAGAGG
This is a small nuclear RNA of Pteronotus mesoamericanus, 141 nucleotides long. RefSeq annotates it as U4 spliceosomal RNA. The transcript has a single exon. Lineage: Eukaryota; Metazoa; Chordata; Mammalia; Chiroptera; Mormoopidae. The record is from RefSeq and is a predicted model, not a curated record.